AUACAUUUACAUACACGCACUUAAAGGAAAUUAUAACUAACUGUUUUUCAAUUCAAUUAAUCAGAGAAGAUUUUCGAAAUUUUGCAAGAGUUUGUUUUGAAAAUUUCGGAGACAAAGUUAAGAUGUGGACAACAAUCAACGAGCCUUAUGUUAUAAGUGUUGCGGGCUACGACACGGGCAUCAAAGCGGUUGGACGGUGCUCGAAAUGGGUGAAUAGUCGGUGUCAAGCCGGUGACUCGGCCAUCGAGCCUUACAUUGUAUCACAUCACCUUCUUCUUUCCCAU
RNAcentral lists this small RNA (284 nucleotides) under Arabidopsis thaliana (thale cress). RNAcentral's name for it is "ATSL126800". The record is from RNAcentral. Lineage: Eukaryota; Viridiplantae; Streptophyta; Magnoliopsida; Brassicales; Brassicaceae.